UGGGUUGAUCCUGGCUCAGAUUGAACGCUGGCGGCAUGCCUUACACAUGCAAGUCGAACGGCAGCACGGGGGCAACCCUGGUGGCGAGUGGCGAACGGGUGAGUAAUACAUCGGAACGUGUCCUGUAGUGGGGGAUAGCCCGGCGAAAGCCGGAUUAAUACCGCAUACGAUCUACGGAAGAAAGCGGGGGAUCGCAAGACCUCGCGCUAUAGGGGCGGCCGAUGGCAGAUUAGCUAGUUGGUGGGGUAAAGGCCUACCAAGGCGACGAUCUGUAGCUGGUCUGAGAGGACGACCAGCCACACUGGGACUGAGACACGGCCCAGACUCCUACGGGAGGCAGCAGUGGGCAAUUUUGGACAAUGGGGGAAACCCUGAUCCAGCAAUGCCGCGUGUGUGAAGAAGGCCUUCGGGUUGUAAAGCACUUUUGUCCGGAAAGAAAACUUCUGCCCUAAUACGGCGGGAGGAUGACGGUACCGGAAGAAUAAGCACCGGCUA
This 495-nucleotide ribosomal RNA is filed under the name bacterium PML27. RNAcentral describes it as "bacterial SSU rRNA". It matches the Rfam family "Bacterial small subunit ribosomal RNA", at positions 1 to 499 of the family's 1533-position model. The record is from RNAcentral.